Molecule: ribosomal RNA, 253 nt
Filed under: uncultured bacterium
Lineage: Bacteria
Description: partial 16S ribosomal RNA
Rfam family: Bacterial small subunit ribosomal RNA
Source: RNAcentral
UACGAAAGGUGCAAGCGUUACUCGGAAUCACUGGGCGUAAAGCGCACGUAGGCGGACUCGUAGGUCAGUUGUGAAAUACCUGGGCUCAACCCGGGAACUGCAGUUGAAACCGCUUGUCUUGAAUACCUGAGAGGGUGGGGGAAUUCAUGGUGUAGCAGUGAAAUGCGUAGAGAUCAUGAGGAAGACCAGUGGCGAAGGCGGGUCUCUGGACAGUUCCUGACACUGAGACACGAAGGCCAGGGGAGCAAACGGG